CAAGUAGCGGAGCAUGUGGCUUAAUUCGAAGCAACGCGAAGAACCUUACCUAAGCUUGACAUCCCAUUGACCUCUCCCUAAUCGGAGAUUUCCCUUCGGGGACAGUGGUGACAGGUGGUGCAUGGUUGUCGUCAGCUCGUGUCGUGAGAUGUUGGGUUAAGUCCCGCAACGAGCGCAACCCUUGCCUUUAGUUGCCAGCAUUAAGUUGGGCACUCUAGAGGGACUGCCGAGGAUAACUCGGAGGAAGGUGGGGAUGACGUCAAAUCAUCAUGCCCCUUAUGCUUAGGGCUACACACGUGCUACAAUGGGUGGUACAGAGGGUUGCCAAACCGUGAGGUGGAGCUAAUCCCUUAAAGCCAUUCUCAGUUCGGAUUGUAGGCUGAAACUCGCCUACAUGAAGCUGGAGUUACUAGUAAUCGCAGAUCAGAAUGCUGCGGUGAAUGCGUUCCCGGGUCUUGUACACACC
This 466-nucleotide ribosomal RNA is filed under the name uncultured bacterium. RNAcentral's name for it is "bacterial SSU rRNA". It matches the Rfam family "Bacterial small subunit ribosomal RNA", at positions 926 to 1391 of the family's 1533-position model. The record is from RNAcentral.